AGUGAACGCUGGCGGUAGGCCUAACACAUGCAAGUCGAACGGCAGCACAGUAAGAGCUUGCUCUUACGGGUGGCGAGUGGCGGACGGGUGAGGAAUACAUCGGAAUCUACUUUUUCGUGGGGGAUAACGUAGGGAAACUUACGCUAAUACCGCAUACGACCUACGGGUGAAAGCAGGGGAUCUUCGCACCUUGCGCGAUUGAAUGAGCCGAUGUCGGAUUAGCUAGUUGGCGGGGUAAAGGCCCACCAAGGCGACGAUCCGUAGCUGGUCUGAGAGGAUGAUCAGCCACACUGGAACUGAGACACGGUCCAGACUCCUACGGGAGGCAGCAGUGGGGAAUAUUGGACAAUGGGCGCAAGCCUGAUCCAGCCAUACCGCGUGGGUGAAGAAGGCCUUCGGGUUGUAAAGCCCUUUUGUUGGGAAAGAAAAGCAGCAGGUUAAUAACCCGCUGUUCUGACGGUACCCAAAGAAUAAGCACCGGCUAACUUCGUG
This 492-nucleotide ribosomal RNA is filed under the name uncultured bacterium. Its description in RNAcentral is "partial 16S ribosomal RNA". It matches the Rfam family "Bacterial small subunit ribosomal RNA", at positions 29 to 507 of the family's 1533-position model. The record is from RNAcentral.